Molecule: ribosomal RNA, 415 nt
Filed under: uncultured bacterium
Lineage: Bacteria
Description: bacterial SSU rRNA
Rfam family: Bacterial small subunit ribosomal RNA
Source: RNAcentral
UGGGGAAUAUUGCACAAUGGGGGAAACCCUGAUGCAGCGACGCCGCGUGAAGGAUGAAGUAUUUCGGUAUGUAAACUUCUAUCAGCAGGGAAGAAAAUGACGGUACCUGACUAAGAAGCCCCGGCUAACUACGUGCCAGCAGCCGCGGUAAUACGUAGGGGGCAAGCGUUAUCCGGAUUUACUGGGUGUAAAGGGAGCGUAGACGGAUGUGCAAGUCUGAAGUGAAAGCCCGGGGCUCAACCCCUGGACUGCAUUGGAAACUGUUGAUCUUGAGUACCGGAGGGGUAAGCGGAAUUCCUAGUGUAGCGGUGAAAUGCGUAGAUAUUAGGAGGAACACCAGUGGCGAAGGCGGCUUACUGGACGGUAACUGACGUUGAGGCUCGAAAGCGUGGGGAGCAAACAGGAUUAGAUACCC